Molecule: long non-coding RNA, 5051 nt
Organism: Gadus chalcogrammus (walleye pollock)
Lineage: Eukaryota; Metazoa; Chordata; Actinopteri; Gadiformes; Gadidae
Exons: 9
Source: RefSeq, a predicted model, not a curated record
ACCGGACAGUCCAUUGUUGUCCUCCACUGCACACAACGUGUGUGUUUGACAUCUCCUCCAGUUUCACAGGUUAAAGACUUUUUGAAGUAAAGAGGAGCAUCUCAUCUGAACCUGAUGUCUAUCAUGGAUAUUUAACUGCAGUUCUGUGAGUAUCCCAACUUAACCAUGAAGAUGAACUGAAAACUGUAAGUCAUAAGUUUCUCAUUACUCUUGGGCACAUUGAUGUAUUUUGGCUUCCUGGUGAGUUAACCCGUUACCUGAAGGUUGAUCUGAGUUGUAAGGAUGUUUUAUUGGUUCAUUGGUUACUUAGGUGUUUGUUUUUAUGUUGGUUUUAAUGAUUUGUUAAAAUGGUUACCGGCUCCAAGUUAUUGUUGCAAGCUGGAGUAAUGGGUAGGGUUCUGAUGUCUUCAGUCUUCUUUCCAGCUACUCUCCUGAGCUCUGCAUCUUCAUCACAUGUGGGUGUGGUCUGAGUGAGCAGAGGUGCAUACUGGGAUACAGUGCUGUCUGAAGUCUACAGGUCUGUAGACACGCCCCCUCAGGGGAAACCGAGUGUUUGAGAAACCGUCGUAACGUCAGUUACAUGGACUAGAAUGUUCUUUAAGAUGGAGACAGGGAUUCAGAAGGGGAAACGCCAGGGGGAGAUGAGGGGGCUCCUCAUCUCAACAGCUAAAACAAAACUUCAGUCUGACACAGAGAACCAUGGAACACAUUCAACAGUCCCCUUCAGACAUCGUGCCUCCUCAGGAACAGUUUCAUGUCCAAGAAGGUCUUAAUUGGGGCCAUUCCAAGAUGGAUCCUGCUCCUCAAGAGCCACCCCCCUCCACUGGGUGGUCUUCUGAACAGAUGACCUCCUUCCUGUCCCCAGGCUGACUAAAGCUUCACCGUUUGCAUCUGUGAAGGCCCCUCAUUCAGGAAACCACUGGACUACAAAGACAUGACUUCAGAGACGUUGAAUCAACCUUGGACACAUUUUGGAGACGCCAAGCAUAAUCCAUCACCAAUGUGGGACGCCACUGAAAAAUGUUGCAUGUAAUUUACUUCUCUGGAGACAUUGGUUGUUCUGUUCUGGGUGCCCUGGCAGGAGAGCUGGGGUUGGAUGAUGGAAUGUUAUUUGGCAUGAAGUUUUUACCCUGCAUGAUUGUUUGGCCUUUUAUGGCUCAGUGGUGUGUGCGUUUGGGUUUGACAUGAGAUGGAUGGUUUUUGAGCAUCCUAGGUUCUACUGUGUGUCUCUCACUCACAGCUGGCAUGGGGUUCUACGUGCGUGUCCUGGGUUCCAAGUGCGUGUCCGGCUUGCAUUGACAGUAAUAAUGUUCAUACGGGGGUCUGUGUGAUUGGCUUGGGAUAUUGGAAUGGUCAACUAAAUCAUACCUGCUGGACGGCCACAGGUUUACUUAAGGGCCUCCAGUAGACAUGAAGAGCCCAGAGCGACGCUGCGGAGCAAUAUCCAACACACUGGGCAGGAAGGAGAGUAUCCAACUCAAGUGUAAAAGAAUGCAAGCAGCGUGUUCAGAUCAGUGACUUCAAACUGGGACUACACCAAUCAGGAUCAAUGGAGGAUGGACACCUGAAGGAAUUCCAAAAGCAGAGUCUGACGUUGGAAAGGGAGCUAAAUGGAUAUUCAAGAUGACCUUCAGACCUGUAAUGAGACGGCUCUUCCUACCUGGCUGGAUUGAUGGAGAGCCCUGUGGAUCUUGUCUUGCUCUGUUGCACAUCUUCUCAGGCUGAACUGUAUUUGUUUCGGACAGGACUAGCAGAACGAUUGGUUCCCUUAAAUCAGAACCAAUCUGGGAACUGCAACUAGUGCGCUCUUCGAGCUGAAGUUGUGCUCUUCAGCUGAGGAGUUAAGGAAACCUUCACUGGGGCUUCACGGUGUAAAGAGGAGGAUGUUUCAAAGUGUUCCAUGGUACUCUGAUGAAGACCGUUGUUGUGUUCCACUGGCUGAGGGGAAGAACCCUCACAUCUUCCUAUUGGCCUUUCUCCUCUGAGAAUCCUGGCGCCAUCUUGAAGGAUAUUCCAGCUCAUGUAACUGAUGUCACGACAGAUUCUCAAACACUUGGUUUCUCCUGAGGGGUGUGUCUAUCAAACUGAAUACUUCAGAAAGCACUGUAUCCCAGCAUGCAUCUCUGCUCACUCAGACCACACCCCCAUGAGUAGGAUGCAACAAUCUAGUGAUGGAGAUGUAGAGUUUUAUAAGUAACGAGGGAGCAGACAAAGGUGUUUAGAACACAAUGGCAUGUCAAGUCUGUAAAUCUCUAAACCAUGAAGAUGAUUGGAUAGUUCAAGAAUUGGGCUUCUUUUUAUUAUGGGCGGUCCUUUCACUCAGAUGCCCGCUUCUCACUGGAACUGUAAAUGUGUUGGCUGGCUGGCAUGAUUUGCUGUUGGUGAUGAGGCGGUCAGGGUGACGUUGCAGGGCUAUGGUCGGCUCUCUGUGAGCUCAACGUUUAGAUUUGCUCUGUAUGGUUUGUACCCUGAAUAAUCUUGAUAAUUGUAAAAUGUAGACACGGUUUUGUAUUGAAUGAUUUUAGGUUUAAAGUUGUCGUACAUGGUAGUUUGGUUCUUUGUACGGUUUUGAGUGAUAUAACAUGUACACACUGGGUGAAUAAUAAUGUAAAGGCACACUGUAUAGUAGCAAUGACCAACAGCAACAAACAGAUCUCCUCAAGGUAAGUCUGUUGGCUGUGUUUUAAUGAAGACCAUCGCUGGACUUCAGGAUCUUCCUCCGUUCAGCUCAAGGUGAGGCGCUGGUUAUGUUGUUUCUUUGGUUGGUUCCGGCCGGAAUGUUCGGAUUCCGGUCGGACGGUUUGUGCUUCCCGCCGUGGAGGUUUCUGAGUGCGGUCACUUUAUUUAGUCCCAAUGGUUAGCAUAGAACGUUGUAGUCUUGACAACCAUAAGAAACCACCUGGCAGUUAGUUGGACCGGAGUCCCCUGAGGGAAUCUGGCAGAACGUUCUGGAAUGUAUUUGCGUAACCUCGAGCCGUUGCCAACGAAAACAAUUUUUCAGUCGUUUCCAUUGGGAAUUGUUGCCCCUUAUCUUAAACGACUUAAGUUUGAUAUUAAAUACAUACUGACACGUACGUCGUACAAUAUGUUAAUCAUUUCCGAUGGUUGCGCCGUACUUUUAACCACGAUGACGUGACGGGACUCUCGCUGCAUACAAAACUGCGUUCUACUUGCGGGCCCAUUUUUGACAUCAGUAACGGCUGAAAAUCAUUUCAAGGUGGCAUUUCAACGGAACCCAGCACCUGAAUAUGGUUGAGUAUAUUUGAUUUAAUAUCGAUACUGCUUAGUGUUCUUUGUUACAUCAGCUUUUGUACGUUCUAAAUAUCUGCUGUCAUUAAUUGCCACAGAAGUUAAACCCUACCAAAUGUAAUGACGUUGAACAACGACUUUGGUGCAGAGUUACCAACUGCAUAAUAUCAAAGCUAAAAUAAUGGCCGUCCUUCCCACAUGUUACAGUAGAAGAUACUCUAGAACUGUACAAGGUUAAAAAGGUAACGUGUAGUUUGUCCCAAGGUGUCUGCCUCCUCACCCAGAGCAAGACCUCCACCUCCUCAUCCAGAGCCAGACCUCCACCUCCUGUCAGAAGGCCUCCAGAACAGAUGCAGGUGGUGGGGUGUGUUGCGUCCCCAGGUGAUUUACUGCGGAGACCAACUGUGUUUGUUCCAGACCAGGAAUCUGUCUGAGGGGAGGUGCUGGAUUCCUCAAAGUGUUUCUGGAGCGGAGGCGAGCUGGUAGGGGAGCCGUGAAUCUGGAGGAUGACCAUCACUCUACCAACAAGGAUUGGAAGUUUGUAUUAACCUAACAAAGUGGAAAUAAAAGACUUAACAUUUUUGUUUGUUAGCAGACGUUGGGGCCAGACUUGCGCUGUUUGUUCCAGACCAGGACUCUGGCUGAGGUGAGCUGAUGGCAUCACUCUACCAACCAGGAUCCUCACCAGAAAUCUGGAGGACUGAUGGAGAAGCCGUACAUCUGGAAGGCAAAUCCUGAGGACAACCAGGACUCUACCAUCAAGGAUUCCUCACACACCUGAGCUGAACCUCGCCUGAUCCUGUUUGGUCGGGGGUAGACACACCUGAGCUGAACCCGCCCUGAUCCUGACAUCCUGCUGGUCCCGUCUCCUCAGUUCAUCUGCGCCUCGUCCUCCAGAAGACCUGCUCAGCUCAGCAGUCUGAGGCUGAUGGAUCAAUGACCUCCAGUGGGAGUGAUCUUCUUGACCCCACAUGUGAUUUACUGCUGAGACCAGUGUUUGUUCCAGACCAGGACUCUGGCUGAGGUGAGCUGAUGGAGGAGCCAAGACUCUGGAGGACGACAUCACUACCAACCAGGAGCCUCAGACAAAUUUCGUUUGUAACCAGACCAGGAAUCUGGAGGACUGAUGGAGAAGCCGUACAUCUGGAAGGCAAAUCCUGAGGACAACCAGGACUCUACCAUCAAGGAUUCCUCACACACCUGAGCUGAACCUCACCUGAUCCUGUUUGGUCGGGGGUAGACACACCUGAGCUGAACCCGCCCUGAUCCUGACAUCCUGCUGGUCCCGUCUCCUCAGUUCAUCUGCGCCUCGUCCUCCAGAAGACCUGCUUAGCUCAGCAGUCUGAGGCUGAUGGAUCAAUGACCUCCAGUGGGAGUGAUCUUCUUGACCCCACAUGUAACCGUGUGCUUCCACACGCCUUUCCUCACGUCUGUCACUAACCUCACUACUAUCUCCUGCUUCCUCUUCUUCUUCCUUCUCUGUGGUUCGAACCUUUACACUGAAGGCGCGUCUUCCUGCCCUCAGAGGGUUCAGCGUUAGGGUUGAGAGUCAGGGUUUAGAGUCAGGGACAGAGCUGGUCAGGGAGGACUGCUUUAAGAAAACCUCUUCACUUGCUUUCGGAAUGGUGGUGACAUUUUGAAAAGAUUCAUUUGGGAAAAUGUUUUCCUAUGCUUUCCUUUACAAAAUUGUAUUAAACUUGUGUCAAGUGUUUUUGUUUAUAUAUUAAAAUCCCACAUUGACUUCUACAUGUUUGGUGCGGUUCAUUUAAUUGUCCUUUAACUUGGUUAAUGUCAAGCUAAAA